CUGCUUGUGCCUGCCGUCAGGAGACUUGUCGUACUGCACAGCUCAAUAUAAAACCUGCCAACAGAAGAGCAGAAGCAAAUCCCAAAGACCCCACCCAGCAUUCUCUACAGUCACACCUCUUAGGGAGGGGGGAAAUGAAAAGAAAAAAAAUAUUAUGGAGAAAUAAAGAAAAAAAUUCUAUUCACACAAAAGUCAUUACAAAAAUUAGAAGUGCCAGUGUCUACAGAUGCGAAGGAAUCAGCAGAAGAAUUCUGGCACCAUGAAAAAAAAACAAUGCUGUGACACCACCAAAGGAUCACACCAGCUCUCCAGCAAUGGUCCCAACCAAAAUGGAAACUUAGAAAUGAUCAAUGAAAAUGUGAAGCAUGGCUUGCAAGGAAGCUCGACAAGAUCCGAGACAAGACUGAAAAUCAACACGAAGAAACUUUGAAAGCAAUCCAGGAAAUGAAGAAAGAGAUAAACAUCUUUAAAAAAUCAAUCAUAGCUUCUGUAAUUGAAAACCUCACUUAAGGAAUUUCAAAGUACAAUUAAAUCAUUAUCAUUAAACUAGACCAAGCAGCAAAAAGAAUUUCAGAGCUUGGAGACUAGUCUUUUGAAUUAAAAUCGUCUGACAAAAAUAAAAGGAAAAUAAUUUUUAAAAAUCAACAAAAUCUUCAAGAAAUACAGGAUUAUGUAAAGCAAGCGAACUUAUGAAUUACCGGCAUUCUUGAGAGAGAAGAAGAAAAGGCAAAUAACCUGGAAACAUAUUUAAGGGAAUAAUCUAAAAAAAUUUUUUUUAUCUUGCUAGAGAGGUAGACAUCCAAAUACAAGAAAUCCAGAAAACACCUGUGAGAUACUAUUUAAAACAUGCAUCACCAAGGUAUUUAGUCACCAGAAUGUCCAAGGUCGAUGAGAAAGAAAAAGGCUUAAAUGCAGCUAGAGAAAUUGGUCAGAUAAUAUACAAAGGGAGCCUCUUCAGGCUAACAGUGGACUUCCCAGCAAAAGUCUUAUAAGCCAGGGACCAUUCUGAAAGAAAAGAAAUUCCAACUAAGAAUUUCAUAUCCUACCGAACUGAGCUUCAUAAAGGAAGGAGACAUAAAAUCUUUUCCACACAAGCAAUCAUUAAGGGAAGUGUUACCACUAAACCAACCUUACAAGACAUCCCUAACAGAGUUCUAAGCAAGGAUAUAACAGGACGAUACCAGCUACCACAAAACACACCUAACCCACUAGCACAUGGUCCACAGGCCCUAUAAAGCAACUAUGCAGUAGAAACUACAAAGCAAUCAACUAAUAACAUAAUAAUAGGAUUAAAACAUCACAUAUCAAUAUUAUCCUUGAGUAUCUUAAAAGACACAGAAUGGCAAGUUAGAUUAAAAAAAAAAAUAAAAGACCCAUCUCUCUGCUGUGUUGAAGGGACACAUCUCACACAUAAUGACGGCCAUAAGCUCAAAGUAAAGGAUUGGAGAAAAUUCUCUUAUGCAAAUGGAAAGCCAAAAAAGAGCAGAGGUUGUCGUUUUUAUAUCAGAUUAAACAGAUUUUAAACCCACAACAGUAAAAGGAAAAAAUUGAAGGGCAUUGCAUAAUGAUAAAGAGUUCAAUUAAACAAGAAGACACAUUAUAACUAUUAUAAAUAUGCGUCCAACAUUGGAGCACCAGAUUCGUAAAAAUAAACACUUCUAGACCUGCAAAAAGAUCUAAAUAGCCACACAGUAGUUGUGGGGGAGGGGCUUUAACACCCCACUGACAGUGUCAGACAGAUCAUUGAGACAGAAAACUAACAAAUAAAUUCUGGACAUAAUUUUGACACCUGACCAAUUGAACCGAAUAGAAUUCUACAGAGUACUCUACUCAUCAAC
This 1838-nucleotide long non-coding RNA is filed under the name Homo sapiens (human). Its description in RNAcentral is "HSALNT0039173". The record is from RNAcentral. Lineage: Eukaryota; Metazoa; Chordata; Mammalia; Primates; Hominidae.